CGCCCGCCAGCCCUUGGCCGCUCCCGGCAGAAGGGUGGCUGGUAAUUGAUCGUCUGGGGGAGGGGGCGCGGAGAGGCGCGAGGACGGGUCCCGGGGAGGCCAGGCCACGGAGCUGGCCCCGUUCGCUCACUUGCAAGGGACCCCCCAGCCUCCGCCACCGAGGCGGCUCGCAAGUGGUUUCAGAAAUGCUGGUGAUCUCGCCGUCGCUCUGCCGCACUAGGAGGCCGCGGCGGGAAUCCGCGCGCCGCCCCGAGGGCCGGGAGCGCCCCCCGCCUCGCCCUCCAAGUCCGCGCGCCCCCAAGUCGCACUGAGAACCCAGUCCCCGAUCGGUUUCCUCUACACCGUCUGAGCAGAAGAGAGUGGGGACCGGGCAAGAAAGAGAAUUUUCUGCAAAAGAACUUUCUUUCUUACGCCUUUUCCAGGAAAAGAUCCUGGAUUGGGACUACAUGUUGGGCCUGGAGAAAUGAUAAGCUGUGAUGUGAAUCAGAACACCUGGUACAUGCUUAGUAAACAGAUGAGAUUCAUCAUCUUCCAGCCUUACCCAAUGGAUUGGACCUUUCUGUUAUCUUAAUCACACUACUUUAGCUUUAAUGUUUAAAAAAAUUAUUUUCUUGCCUGGUGCCAAUCAUAUAAAAGGGUUUAGUAUUCAUUGCAUAUUGAAUACUGUAAUGGUGGUGAUUGUAAUCUAGUUUUUACUUUAAGUUUUCAUGAUCUUGCCACUCCUCAGCAUUGCACUGGACAGUAUCUGUAAGACUAUGUUAUCCCAAAGGUGCAGAGGAAAGAAAGGAAGAACUUACUUAUACCUUGAGGUUUCAUAAUGGCCAAGGUAGGGAGGGAGUUUUCCAAAAUUUUGUGAAAUCACCUUUCUCAAAUAUAGACUUAUUUGAUUGA
Long non-coding RNA from Cebus imitator (Panamanian white-faced capuchin), 891 nucleotides. RefSeq lists it as uncharacterized. Lineage: Eukaryota; Metazoa; Chordata; Mammalia; Primates; Cebidae. The record is from RefSeq and is a predicted model, not a curated record. The transcript has 2 exons.